UGUACUGAGAUUGUUCGGGAGACAUGGUCCAAGCCCGGUGA
RNAcentral lists this small RNA (41 nucleotides) under Arabidopsis thaliana (thale cress). Its description in RNAcentral is "rrn5". Lineage: Eukaryota; Viridiplantae; Streptophyta; Magnoliopsida; Brassicales; Brassicaceae. The record is from RNAcentral.